This 1348-nucleotide ribosomal RNA is filed under the name metagenome. Its description in RNAcentral is "bacterial LSU rRNA". It matches the Rfam family "Bacterial large subunit ribosomal RNA", at positions 1564 to 2925 of the family's 2925-position model. The record is from RNAcentral.
UGAGUGCGAGCGGCUACGGCCGCGAAGUGGGUGAUGUCAAGCUUCCAAGAAAAGCCCUAUACCCGUUAAGGCAUGAUGGCCUGUACCCGAAACCGACACAGGUGGGGUGGUAGAGAAUACCGAGGGGCGCGAGGUAACUCUCUCUAAGGAACUCGGCAAAAUGGCCCCGUAACUUCGGGAGAAGGGGUGCCACCGCAAGGUGGUCGCAGUGAAGAGGCCCAGGCGACUGUUUACCAAAAACACAGGUCUCCGCUAAGUCGCAAGACGAUGUAUGGGGGCUGACGCCUGCCCAGUGCCGGAAGGUUAAGGAAGCUGGUCAGCGCAAGCGAAGCUGGCGACUGAAGCCCCGGUGAACGGCGGCCGUAACAAUAACGGUCCUAAGGUAGCGAAAUUCCUUGUCGGGUAAGUUCCGACCCGCACGAAAGGCGUAACGAUCUGGGCGCUGUCUCGGAGAGAGGCUCGGCGAAAUAGAAUUGUCUGUGAAGAUGCGGACUACGUGCACCCGGACAGAAAGACCCUAUGAAGCUUUACUGUAGCUUGGUAUUGUGCCCGGGCUCUGAAUGCGCAGGAUAGGUGGGAGGCUUUGAUCCAUGGCUUGCGGGUCAUGGUGAGCCAACGGUGAGAUACCACUCUUUCAGAGCUAGGGUUCUAACGGUCACCCGUCAUCCGGGGACCGGACAGUAUCAGGUGGCAGUUUGACUGGGGCGGUCGCCUCCUAAAAGGUAACGGAGGCGCGCAAAGGUUUGCUCAGGCUGGUUGGAAAUCAGCCGACGAGUGCAAAAGCAGAAGCAAGCUUGACUGUGAGACCUACAAGUCGAACAGGGACGAAAGUCGGCUUUAGUGAUCCGACGGUUCUGAGUGGAAGGGCCGUCGCUCAACGGAUAAAAGUUACUCUAGGAUAACAGGCUGAUCCCCCCCAAGAGUUCACAUCGACGGGGAGGUUUGGCACCUCGAUGUCGGCUCAUCGCAACCUGGGGCUGAAGUCGGUCCCAAGGGUUGGGCUGUUCGCCCAUUAAAGCGGUACGCGAGCUGGGUUCAGAACGUCGUGAGACAGUUCGGUCCAUAUCCGGUGCAUGCGCAGGAACAUUGAGAGGAUCUCUCCCUAGUACGAGAGGACCGGGAGGAACGCACCUCUGGUGUGCCAGUUAUCGUGCCAACGGUAAACGCUGGGUAGCCAUGUGCGGAGUGGAUAACCGCUGAAAGCAUCUAAGUGGGAAGCCCACCUCAAGAUGAGUGUUCCCAUGGCAUAAGCCAGUAAGGUCACGGGAAGAACACCCGUUGAUAGGCUCUACGUGGAAGCCGGGUAACCGGUGAAGCGGAGGAGUACUAAUAGACCGAGGGCUUGACC